Molecule: long non-coding RNA, 3642 nt
Filed under: Homo sapiens (human)
Lineage: Eukaryota; Metazoa; Chordata; Mammalia; Primates; Hominidae
Description: HSALNT0136630
Source: RNAcentral
AGCCUCCUGAGUAGCUGGGACUACAGGCGCCUUGCCACUAUGCCCGGCUAAUUUUUUUUGUAUUUUUAGUAGAGAUGGGGUUUCAGCGUGUUAGCCACGAUGGUCUCGAUCUCCUGACCUCCUGAUCCGCCCGCCUCGGUCUCCCAAAUGCUGGGAUUACAAGCAUGAGCCACAGCACCGGGCCUUGGACUUAAUUUUUUUAAUAUUAAUUAGUGUAACUUUUUCAGAGUCUGUGUCUUGUGCUGUGGUUUGUUUGUGAUAAAUGUCCAGAUUUAUUGUUUCUCUGGGCACCCUUGGAAGAUAGAUAAUCCUUUGUCUUCUGGCAUCUGCAUAACUGUCUGGCAAGGAGAGACGAUUGCUCAAGUAUCAUUAUUAGUCCAAACUUUUCUUAAAACAGAAAUGAAGGAACUGAGGCAGUAAAAUAAACAGAACCUUGCCUUGGGCCUCCCAAAUCCUCCCAGUCCCACCUUUUCCUCGUGAGCCUCAGAUUCCUGUGCAGAGCUGCCUCACCAAUAUGUUGUGCCAUUUCCUAUUCCUGGAAAAGCCCUGGAGACUGCAAGGGUGGUGUCUCACUAUGUUGCCCAGACUGUUUUCUAACCCUGGCCUCAAGCAAAUUUCCCACCUCCUUCUCCCAAAAUGCUGGGAUUACAAGUGUGAGCCACUGUACCCAGCCUACUUAGGAGGACAUUUACUAUUCACUUACUGAUUUGCAUCAAAUUAUUGAUUGGUGGUGUUUCAGAAGGUGGAAGCUCUGCCAGCCCCACAUACAGCCUGAGUGAGACAUGCCAUUCAUUUGUUAAGCAGCUGAGGGUUUGUAACUGCUUGUGACUGCGGCAUGUCCAAGAAUGUUUUGUCUGAUGCACGACAAUGAGUGAAUAUAUAAUGAUUCAACAAGAGCCAUAGAGUUUUAAAAUGUGUUACAUUUUAUAGGAAAUACAGUUACUUAGACUUAUAAAAACAAGAUAUUCUCAGAAUAUUUUUCAUACUGAUUUACCUCUACUUGUCUUACUGGUGUCUAUGAGCUCAACUCAAGAUUUCCAAUCAAAUAACAACGAUAUGGAUUCACCUGGUGGCCAAGCAACAAUGUAAGAUAUUUAGAGUAGAGUCCUCAGAACAUUUUGCUGUGUUUGAAGAUGCUCAGGGUAAGUUAUAGUAUUCUGAGUUUUGUAUUUCACUACAACAAAUGCUUGUCUUUAUUUUCUUUCUUUUUUUUCAAGACGAGGACAGAAGAGAUUGAGAAUCAUGGUUAAAAGAGAAAAAACAAAACUCACUUGGGCCGUCUUUAAAUGUAUACAGAUAGGUGUUUGGUAGGCCCUAGCAUGCUUAAACUUAGGUUUCAGUAUGCAUGGGCCUUCCAGGAAACUGGCUGGGAAGACACACAAGAAAUUUAUAUCCUGUAAGGGACUGAGGCCAGAGAGAGAGGGGCUCAGCACAGCUGGUAUCAGAGCCAUGCUAUAACACUGGGUGCUGCCAAAGAAAGACACUAUGGAACAUGAUGCAAAUGCUGUUUCAUGAAGGCACACAACACCAUCUACAUGCAGGUACUAAAGCAAUGGAAACAGCACAGCACCCUCCUUCUCAGGAACCACUGCACUGAUCACUCCUUGUGCAUGACUAAGCAGCCUCACUCAGCAGGGCUUGGCAGGGGAGUCUGCCAGAUGUCGUAAAGCUCAGAAACAGAAAAAUGAUGAGAGAGGAUGGGAUGCCCAGGAACAUAGUCACUGCCCCUUGGGAGCAGGAGCACCUCGUGGAAGUGGCAGCUCUGCCCCGAGAAGUGGGCAAGUUGGAGCCUGAGUCUAGCAGGGUUUUGGGCCUUUUGCAGAGGUCUGGCCUCUACAUGCGGGUGUUGCUGAAAAGUUAGAGGAACUUUUCUGGAGUCGUGAGUGCAUGUUGGGGCAAAACUCAGUAGAAUUUGAGUGAUUAUUUCAAACACAAAUACAAUUCUACCCACAAAUAGGUGAAGCCAAGAGAAACUGGCCAUUUAUGGGUCUAUGCAACUACAUUUAACUUAUACACACAUAUAGAAUUAGUAUUGAUGUUAAGGGUAGAAAUGCUGACAGAGCGGUGACCAUGUGUAAAUUAGGAAAUAAGAAAUAUUAAGGCAUUGUUGUUUCAGAAAGUUCAAACUAUCCAUAUAAAUGAGUAAAAUCUGAUUAUCAGUUAACUAGCUGCUAUGCAAGAUGCAUAUAUUAUCAUAAAAGCAAAAUAAUAUUUCAAUGAUUUAUAAAAAUAAGAGAAACUAACACAUCUGGAUAAAGAAUCCAAUUAUGCCUAUCUAAAGCAACUAUCCCCAACAGAUCAAACUGUUUUGCAAUCUUAUCUCUCAUGACUAUGAUUGUAAUUUAUAUUAAAACAACUAUUGAGGCCAAAAAUAACUCAGAGCUAAAUUGUUCAAAUAGCUAUGUUAAAAGGCAUCUCACUUUUGUCAUUUCAGUACAAAUGGGAUUCUCAUUGGGAACAUAGAAAGUUAGUUUGCUAGGAUGACUAUUGAAACCUUAAGGUGAAAAAGCUUGCUCUUACUGAGAAAAUCCCAUCAUGAGUUGUGGGAUUCAAUUCAAACGAGACACAAAGGAUAAAGAAACACUAAGAAAAUAUGCAUAAAAAAGACAUAUAUUAAAAUGAAAAUCUGUUGAGUCAUAACUGUAACACAUCUUUAGAGGUGGCAGCUUUACAAUCAAAUAAAUAAUAUUUUGACACUUUCCAUAACAUUAUGUUUAAUCUCCUUUCAAUUACAUCCAUCUGACCGUCUUUCCAGGUACUUUGAAUCACAAUUCACGUGUCAGAACUUUAUUUUGUUCUAAAGAAUGAAUUUCAAGAAAAAAAAUCCUUAUGUUUCAUUCGUAUAUCAUGAAAUGGGCAUUCAACACUUUUCUUGAUUUGUAUGGUUAGCUGAAAUGGAUAAAUCAGACACAUAUGAUACUGGUCCAAUUAAAGUGAAUGUGCACAAACUACCUUUUAAAGUUUUGGGUAGUCAUUAUAAAUUGAUCUGGAUGUUAAAAUUCACUCAAAAAUUUCAAAGAAUUUCUUGUGAAUCAAAAAUAUCUUGAAAGUCAAAAGAUUAGGAGAAAUACAUUUACUGUGAUUUAAAAGAACACUCGAUCCAUUUUUAAAAUAUUUAGUAAUAUAUAAUUUAUUAUUUCACUCAUCUGUCUCAGUAUAAGGAAUUUGGUGACAUUUCUAUUUAUGCUUUUAGAGGAAACAUCUGAUUCUAAGGUUCAAAGCGUGAGACUGUAAGGCUUUUACAAACACAGAAAUUAAUGAGGAAGGUCACCAUGCAGUCUAUAACUAUCACAGACAUUUUUUAAUGCAACAAUUUACUGGAUUAGCUAUCAGAAAGUCAAGGAGGUGAUUCACUACCAUACAUGAAAAUAAAGUAUAAAAUACUGGUUUUGACAGUGCAACUACACUUUUAUAGCUGUUUUGUCAGUUUCUCACAAAUUUCCUCAAAUGGACAUAUCAUUACUUGAAUAGUAAUCAGCAAUUUAUUUUCAGGGGUUUUUUUGCAAUAAAAAGAAAUGCCUUCACUCAUAAAACAUAAUGAAGAGAAAGGCACUUUAUUUAAGAAUAGAGGAAUGCAUUAUGCCUCUUGAAUAUAUAGUACAUUAUUUAUAAUCUACUGCUGCAGUUACUGUUGUAUAUCCU